AAACUGCGAUGAUUUAGUCUGGCUGUGUAGAUAACUACGUGAAAAUGUAGCUAAGGGAAGGCAGAAUAAGACGCAUGACUAUCAGUUAGUUGGUAGUGUAAUGGACUACCAAGACAGUGACGGUUGACGGGAAAUUAGGGUUUUGUACCGGAGAGGGAGCCUGAGAGAUUGCUCCCACGUCCAAGGACGGCAGCAGGCGCGAAAAUUGCCCACUCUUUGCAGGAGGCAGUUAUGAGACGUGAAGAUGAGUAUCUUGUAAAGAGGGAUAGGAGAAUUGGAGGGCAAGUUUGGUGCCAGCAGCCGCGGUAAUACCGACUCCAAGAGUGUGUAUGAGAGAUGCUGCAGUUAAAAAGUCCGUAGUCAUAGAAGGGCAAAGAGAGACGCGAGGUCUCACAGUGCGAUGAUGGAGGAGCCGAUGGGGAACAUAGUAUACCAGGGCGAGAGAUGAAAUGCCAAGACCCCUGGUGGACUGAGCGAGGCGAAGGCGAUGUUCUUGUAGGCAUUCGGUGAUCAAGGACGAAGGCUGGAGUAUCGAAAGUGAUUAGAUACCGCAGUAGUUCCAGCAGUAAAAGAUGCCGACAUGCUCAUUGGACACAGUGGGCAGGGAGAAAUCUUAGAGUUCGGGCUCUGGGGAUAGUAUGCUCGCAAGGGUGAAAAUU
RNAcentral lists this ribosomal RNA (659 nucleotides) under Vittaforma corneae. RNAcentral's name for it is "SSU rRNA". It matches the Rfam family "Microsporidia small subunit ribosomal RNA", at positions 94 to 779 of the family's 1311-position model. The record is from RNAcentral. Lineage: Eukaryota; Fungi; Microsporidia; Nosematidae.